AUGCAGUCGAACGAUGAACCGGUUUCGGCCGGGGAUUAGUGGCGAACGGGUGAGUAACACGUGGGCAAUCUGCCCUGCACUCUGGGAUAAGCCCGGGAAACUGGGUCUAAUACCGGAUACGACACUCCGAGGCAUCUUGGGGUGUGGAAAGUUCCGGCGGUGCAGGAUGAGCCCGCGGCCUAUCAGCUUGUUGGUGGGGUAAUGGCCUACCAAGGCGACGACGGGUAGCCGGCCUGAGAGGGUGACCGGCCACACUGGGACUGAGACACGGCCCAGACUCCUACGGGAGGCAGCAGUGGGGAAUAUUGCACAAUGGGCGAAAGCCUGAUGCAGCGACGCCGCGUGAGGGAUGACGGCCUUCGGGUUGUAAACCUCUUUCAGCAGGGAAGAAGCGAAAGUGACGGUACCUGCAGAAGAAGCACCGGCUAACUACGUGCCAGCAGCCGCGGUAAUACGUAGGGUGCGAGCGUUGUCCGGAAUUAUUGGGCGUAAAGAGCUCGUAGGCGGUUUGUCGCGUCGAUUGUGAAAGCCCGGGGCUUAACCCUGGGUCUGCAGUCGAUACGGGCAGGCUAGAGUUCGGCAGGGGAGACUGGAAUUCCUGGUGUAGCGGUGAAAUGCGCAGAUAUCAGGAGGAACACCGGUGGCGAAGGCGGGUCUCUGGGCCGAUACUGACGCUGAGGAGCGAAAGCGUGGGGAGCGAACAGGAUUAGAUACCCUGGUAGUCCACGCCGUAAACGGUGGGCACUAGGUGUGGGCAACAUUCCACGUUGUCCGUGCCGCAGCUAACGCAUUAAGUGCCCCGCCUGGGGAGUACGGCCGCAAGGCUAAAACUCAAGGAAUUGACGGGGGCCCGCACAAG
This 859-nucleotide ribosomal RNA is filed under the name Streptomyces sp. Its description in RNAcentral is "bacterial SSU rRNA". It matches the Rfam family "Bacterial small subunit ribosomal RNA", at positions 55 to 929 of the family's 1533-position model. The record is from RNAcentral. RNAcentral also lists the same sequence under 1 other name. Lineage: Bacteria; Bacillati; Actinomycetota; Actinomycetes; Kitasatosporales; Streptomycetaceae.